GACGAACGCUGGCGGCGUGCUUAACACAUGCAAGUCGAACGGAAAGGCCUGCUUUCCCUUGUGGAUUGCGGGUACUCGAGUGGCGAACGGGUGAGUAACACGUGAGUUAUCUGCCCCCAACUUGGGUAUAAGCCUGGGAAACUGGGUCUAAUUCCCGAUAGCACUGCAGGGUGGUGCCUGUGGUGGAAAACGAUUUUCUAGUGGUUGGGGAUGAGCACGCGGCCUAUCAGCUUGUUGGUGGGGUAAUGUCCUACCAAUGCGGGGACGGGUAGCCGGCCAGGGGGAGUGGGCGGGCGCAUGUGGCCGGAGAUACGGCCACGGCUCCAACGCGAGGAAGCCGUGGGGAAGCAUGAACGAUGAGCGGAAGACAAAGGGAGCAAGGCCGAGUGAGCGAUGCCGGGUUUCGGGUUGUAGACUUCUUUCGACAGCGAGGAAGCCACCUGGUUGGAGGGGUGGUGACGGUAGUGGUAGAAGAAGCACCGGCUAACUACGUG
RNAcentral lists this ribosomal RNA (494 nucleotides) under uncultured bacterium. Its description in RNAcentral is "partial 16S ribosomal RNA". It matches the Rfam family "Bacterial small subunit ribosomal RNA", at positions 28 to 507 of the family's 1533-position model. The record is from RNAcentral.